AACACAUGCAAGUCGAGGGGUAACAGAGAGUGCUUGCACUCUGCUGACGACCGGCGCACGGGUGAGUAACGCGUAUAGAACCUACCUUUUACUGGAGAAUAACCAGGAGAAAUUCUGACUAAUACUCCAUAGUAUGUAUAAGUUGCAUAGUUUAUACAUUAAAGAUUUAUUGGUAAAAGAUGGCUAUGCGUCCUAUUAGCUAGAUGGUGUGGUAACGGCACACCAUGGCAACGAUAGGUAGGGGCCCUGAGAGGGGGAUCCCCCACACUGGUACUGAGACACGGACCAGACUCCUACGGGAGGCAGCAGUGAGGAAUAUUGGACAAUGGAGGCAACUCUGAUCCAGCCAUGCCGCGUGCAGGAAGACUGCCCUAUGGGUUGUAAACUGCUUUUAUAAGAGAAGAAACCCCUGGAUGUAUCCGGGGCUGACGGUAUCUUACGAAUAAGCACCGGCUAACUCCGUGCCAGCAGCCGCGGUAAUACGGAGGGUGCAAGCGUUAUCCGGAAUUACUGGGUUUAAAGGGUGCGUAGGC
RNAcentral lists this ribosomal RNA (533 nucleotides) under uncultured bacterium. Its description in RNAcentral is "bacterial SSU rRNA". It matches the Rfam family "Bacterial small subunit ribosomal RNA", at positions 50 to 576 of the family's 1533-position model. The record is from RNAcentral.